RNAcentral lists this unclassified non-coding RNA (389 nucleotides) under uncultured fungus. RNAcentral's name for it is "partial contains small subunit ribosomal RNA, internal transcribed spacer 1, and 5.8S ribosomal RNA". The stretch from base 1 to 73 matches the Rfam family "Eukaryotic small subunit ribosomal RNA", at positions 1759 to 1831 of the family's 1831-position model. The record is from RNAcentral. Lineage: Eukaryota; Fungi.
GCAAACUUGGUCAUUUAGAGGAAGUAAAAGUCGUAACAAGGUUUCCGUAGGUGAACCUGCGGAAGGAUCAUUAUUGAAUAAAUAUGGUUGGUUGUAGCUGGCUUUUCGGAGCAUGUGCACACCUGCCGUCUUUAUCCAUCCACCUGUGCAUCUUUUGUAGUCUUGGGUUUUGAGAGAGCUGGCAGAUUUUCGAUUGGCCUAUGUGUCUGUCGGAUGUGAGGAGUGCUGAUAACUCUCCUUGAGAUGUGGCAAUCUCGUCCCAGGUCUAUGUCUUUUCAUAUACCAUAUAGUAUGAUACAGAAUGUACUUCAUGGGCCUCUGCGCCUAUAAAACACUAUACAACUUUCAGCAACGGAUCUCUUGGCUCUCGCAUCGAUGAAGAACGCAGC